GGGGUUUCAAGCUGUCAAUCGUCUGGCGGCCUCCUCCCCUCCAGUAGGUGGCUUGCUGCGGCAUUUUGGGGCUCUGAUGUUUAUGUCUUGUAGGGCAGAUCAUAUUCCUGGCAUUCACUCUCUCUCUCAUUCACGAUGGUUGGGAUUUUCGGGCGGGCAGAGCUGGAAGGGACUCCAGGCCCGGUGGAGGUGUGGUCGCUUGGUCUGGCAGAUUGAAGGAUUUGUCCGUGGAUCAGUCUCUCAGGCCU
Molecule: non-coding RNA, 248 nt
Organism: Pelobates cultripes (western spadefoot toad)
Lineage: Eukaryota; Metazoa; Chordata; Amphibia; Anura; Pelobatidae
Source: the annotation of a GenBank genome assembly